ACAACAUUCGGGACCGUCGGUCUACCGAGCAAUGUCACCCACUCAGUGGAAGAUCUUCCCUCCGUCGU
This 68-nucleotide microRNA precursor is filed under the name Bombyx mori (domestic silkworm). Its description in RNAcentral is "mir-2774 microRNA precursor family". It matches the Rfam family "mir-2774 microRNA precursor family". Lineage: Eukaryota; Metazoa; Arthropoda; Insecta; Lepidoptera; Bombycidae. The record is from Rfam by way of RNAcentral.